GAACUAUUACAAUUUUCUUUCUUCUACGGGAGCCGUCGUCGUCUCGGGCUCUCCAGCCUCGGUUCUUUCCUCGUCUCGGCGCGGGACACCCGCGCGACCGACUGCCGGAGCACCUCCUCCGCCGCGCCCCGCGCUGUCGCCUGCCUCCCUACGUCGGCAGAAGGAGCGCGGCCCCCCUCGACGACAAGCCCCUAGAGACCCUUUAGUUGCUCGCGCGGUGGACUUCUAGAGGUACCGGUCGCGGCGCCUCGAGCCCCAUGGACGCGGACGGGGGACUACCUUACCGGCACCGGCGUGCGGCUCUGCGCCUACGGCGCCCGGCUGGGCAUGCGGCCAGCCUGGUCGCGCCACCGUAGCGGACGGGGCGAGCCGACCAUGUGCCGGUUCCCGAACGGGGGACACUUAAGCUCAAGCUCAAGUAAAGGUCGAGUCGGCCGCCGUCGACCAUUAGGCUCAGGCCGUUCUUGGUCCUCGAGAGGCUACUUAUUUUCGCGAACGCCACCCCCGUCGACGAGGUUGAGCUAAGCAAGCGGAGGGAGGGGUUAGGGGUCUAGGUUAGGUUCUGUGCGGUAGGUACCGCCGCUUCCACGAGGUCGAGGCAUCGAGGCUGCCGUUCCACGAGCAGCGAGGCCGCACCCUGAUAGCGGGCCGGCGGCGGGUUCGGGAGGGCGACCUCUACGCCCACGGGAGCGCGCGGGAGGUCUCCCACGAGGUCAUGACCUGGUUCGUGUCGGAACGGUUCCGGUGGCCACUCAGGGCCCUCAGGGAGCGGGCGACCCUGCGGCUGAAGGUCGCGGCAGAGGUCCUUCUGCCGGAGCGGUUCCUCCGGCGGCGUCGGCGGGUUCUUGAGGCGGCGAUGCCGCAGGUAGUACCUCCCGCAGGGGCAGCGGUACGGCGGUGCCCGCGUAGACUACACCGACGAGGACGGUUCCGCCGUGCACGACUAGGGCAGGCACAGACCACACAGUUGGUGCCUCUUGCGUCGGUACGCGGCCGCUACGGGCCGAGGAAGCUACGGUGACUAUAACGGAGGCGGCGCGCGGGACCCGGACGGUGGUGGAACGGCCGACGACGACCACGACUGGGGCACCUACGGGUAACGCGCUAGGCACGGGCACCUGCGGUCUACCGACUUCUGCUCCUCGAGCGAACGGUGGUGGCGUUCGCGGGCCGAAGGUUCCGAGGUUAGACGGACGGACGGUGGCGACGACGCGGACACUUCUUCCAGAGAGCAGUCCAGCGAAGGUUCCGAACGAGAAAGCAGCCAAGAUGUGGUGACGAACGGUGACGACGACGCGGGUCACACGUUGGCUUCGGCGGCUAGUCGUACGCGGUUGACUAGCUCUUCCGAGCGGAGUGGUACCGAGAGGAGCUGUUCCGAGCGAGACGGAGGUUUCUUCUCCGGUCGGCAGCCGCGCUGUAGCUCGCGUCGGCUCGCCUCCGGGCCGCUUUCCACCUCGUCUACCGCCUGUGGCACGUCAAGUUGCUGGGGACCUAGGUAAUGAGGCUGCACUGGUUCAGGGGACUCCUCGACGAGGUUCGUGCUGUCGUUCGUACCGCAAUAGUUCGAGUGGAGGAGCUCUACCGAGCAGCUGCCCUGAAACGAGUUCGCUACGUUUAGGUGCCCACUACCUUCGUCUCGUUCUUUAGUAGUCGUCACGUUCGAAGAACCACCAUCAGAAUGUAGUCUCCUCUUCUCAGCCGUCACUCUUUUCGUCUCGUUCCUUCGUUGGUUAAGGAACCGACGCAGGUCACCAUAAUGCGGAAGGGAUCAGAAAAUCAACGAAGGAUUUGGUACGUGUGUACUCAAAGUAAAUUGGAAACGUAGAGAUCCAAGACGUGAAUUAGUGGUUCUAAAGAUCACAAGAAACUUAGGGAAAGUCAGUAAUGACUAAAAUGUUCCCACAGUCGUCUCAGAGGUAGAUCGAUCCGUCGUUUUUAGUACGAUUCUACACAUGCCGUAUCAAUGUGAUGUAGGUGUGGACCAGGAUUCAAUUCCCAAAUUCAUUUAUUUCCCGUAAAAGUUAUUUAGUUUCACUUCGUCUACUCGGUUUUUUUAACCUUUGAGUACAUGACGUUAAGGCCGGGCUCUGUCUCGCAUUUUGCGUGAGCGGCGUUUUAGGUUUUGCGGGCAAACGAUGGGCCGAACAUCGUCCUUUUUUCCUCAUCUUAACUUGAACAGCUAUGUGUGCAUUAGAACACUCGACGGAUCGCAAACCUCUGACACGACUGAGAGAACAUUUGAAUUAGAACCGACUUAACCUAAGAAUCCGUAACCCACAGAACCACUCAAUUUCAACGUCAAAGGCUGUUCAUUGUAACCAAUCACUUGAGAACACACACACGUCCACUUCGAAACACGAUUCGUUCAGGAGUUACAUGGCUGAUAGUUCAGUAUAACAUUAGUUAUAGUCUAUAAUUACUUUUAAACAACCGGACUUAAACACG
RNAcentral lists this ribosomal RNA (2448 nucleotides) under Triticum aestivum (bread wheat). Its description in RNAcentral is "partial small subunit ribosomal RNA". Lineage: Eukaryota; Viridiplantae; Streptophyta; Magnoliopsida; Poales; Poaceae. The record is from RNAcentral.